Molecule: ribosomal RNA, 571 nt
Filed under: Bacillus sp. (in: firmicutes)
Lineage: Bacteria; Bacillati; Bacillota; Bacilli; Caryophanales; Bacillaceae
Description: bacterial SSU rRNA
Rfam family: Bacterial small subunit ribosomal RNA
Source: RNAcentral
GCAAGUCGAGCGGACAGAUGGGAGCUUGCUCCCUGAUGUUAGCGGCGCACUGGUGAGUAACACGUGGGUAACCUGCCUGUAAGACUGGGCAUCACAAAGGAAACCGGGGCUAAUACCGGAUGCUUGUUUGAACCGCAUGGUUCAAACAUAAAAGGUGGCUUCGGCUACCACUCUUCCGAAGGACCCGCGGCGCAUUAGCUAGUUGGUGAGGUAACGGCUCACCAAGGCAACGAUGCGUAGCCGACCUGAGAGGGUGAUCGGCCACACUGGGACUGAGACACGGCCCAGACUCCUACGGGAGGCAGCAGUAGGGAAUCUUCCGCAAUGGACGAAAGUCUGACGGAGCAACGCCGCGUGAGUGAUGAAGGUUUUCGGAUCGUAAAGCUCUGUUGUUAGGGAAGAACAAGUACCGUUCAAAUAGGGCGGUACCUUGUUUGUACCUAACCAGAAAGCCACGGCUAACUACAUGCCAGCAGCCGCGGUAAUACGUAGGUGGCAAGCGUUGUCCGGAAUUAUUGGGCGUAAAGGGCUCGCAGGCGGUUUCUUAAGUCUGAUGUGAAAGCCCCCGGCU